UUCCCCCUUGGAUUUUGAGCUAGGAUCUCACCCCACGCUGGAGGACAGCCUGGUCAUGCUCCUCCAGAGGGAUAGACUUUCUUGCUUCGCUUGACCCCGGCCGAUGGUGAGUAAUGCCUAGUAAUCUGCUUGGUAGAGGGGGAUAACCUUCAGAAACUGACUCUAAUACCGCAUACAUCCUAACUUAGAAAGCAGGGGACCUUCGGGCCUUGCGCUAUCACAUGAGCCUAUGUGGGAUUAGCUCCUUGGUGGGGUAUGGCCUCCCCCAGGCCACAAUCCUUAACUGGUCUGAGAGGAUGAUCCGUCACGCUGAAAAUGACACGCCGUCCACACCCCCUCCGGAGGGUUUGGUGGGGAAUAUUGCACAAUGGGCCAAAGCCUGAUCCACCCAUGCCGCGUGAGUGAAGAAGGUCUUCUUAUUGUACUUCACUUUACGUUGGGAGAAAGGACAUUACAUUAAUACUUUGCUGUUUGGACCUUAGCUACAGAAUACACCCCUCUUUCUUCUGUGCCUUCAUUGGAUGUAAUAGAGAGGGUGCGUUCUUCACUCUGAUUUAAUGUACGUAACGCGCGCGUAGGUGUGUAGUUAACUUGGAUGUGACAUCCGAGGUCUCACCCUGCGGAACUGCCUUCACAACUGACUGACUAGAGUAUGGUAGAGGGUGAUGGAAUUUCUGUGCUCCCGGUGAAAUGCGUACAUAUAGGACGGAGUGCACUACCGAGUAUCACCUCCUGGUACUGCUCACCCGACUCUGCGCAGCUAAGUCGUCGGUGAACCAAACCAGGAGUACACCCUCUGCUACUGCUGCUCCGUACAUAGAUGUCCACUAUGUCGGUCGACGACCAUGAAGCUUCUCAGCCAGCCGUCGACCAUGCUCUAGUCAGAUCCGUCGUGGAAUAGCUACUGCCGGAUGUAGACCACGUCAAUUGCACUUACAGCUACCUGACCAGCUGAGCGCAGCCUUGUAGUCCUAGUUACGCUACCGCGAAUCGUC
Molecule: ribosomal RNA, 995 nt
Filed under: uncultured bacterium
Lineage: Bacteria
Description: bacterial SSU rRNA
Rfam family: Bacterial small subunit ribosomal RNA (bases 9-798)
Source: RNAcentral